GCGGACGUGGCGGAAUGGUAGACGCCGGGGACUUAAAAUCCCUUGAUCCUUGAUCGUGCGGGUUCGAGUCCCGCCGUCCGCACCA
This 85-nucleotide transfer RNA is filed under the name Novosphingobium subterraneum. RNAcentral describes it as "tRNA-Leu". It matches the Rfam family "tRNA". From Rfam's summary of the family: Transfer RNA (tRNA) molecules are approximately 80 nucleotides in length. The record is from RNAcentral. RNAcentral also lists the same sequence under 16 other names. Lineage: Bacteria; Pseudomonadati; Pseudomonadota; Alphaproteobacteria; Sphingomonadales; Sphingomonadaceae.